UACGGAGGGUGCAAGCGUUACUCGGAAUUACUGGGCGUAAAGGAUGCGCAGGCGGUUUUGAAAGUCAGAUGUGAAAUCCUAUGGCUUAACCAUAGAACUGCAUUUGAAACUUCAUGACUAGAGUGAGGGAGAGGUAAAUGGAAUUAGUGGUGUAGGGGUAAAAUCCGUAGAGAUCACUAGGAAUACUCAUUGCGAAGGCGAUUUACUGGAACUUUACUGACGCUGAGGCAUGAAAGCGUGGGGAGCAAACAGGAUUAGAUACCCUGGUAGUCCACGCCCUAAACGAUGUACACUAGUUGUUGCGGUGCAAGUCAUCGCAGUGAUGCAGCUAACGCAUUAAGUGUACCGCCUGGGGAGUACGGUCGCAAGAUUAAAACUCAAAGGAAUAGACGGGGACCCGCACAAGCGGUGGAGCAUGUGGUUUAAUUCGAAGAUACGCGAAGAACCUUACCUGGACUUGACAUCCUAUAAAUGAUUUAGAGAUAGAUUAGUGCUAGUUUACUAGAAUAUAGUGACAGGUGCUGCACGGCUGUCGUCAGCUCGUGUCGUGAGAUGUUGGGUUAAGUCCCGCAACGAGCGCAACCCUCGUCGUUAGUUGCUAACAGUUCGGCUGAGCACUCUAACGAGACUGCCUUCGUAAGGAGGAGGAAGGUGAGGACGACGUCAAGUCAUCAUGGCCCUUAUGUCCAGGGCUACACACGUGCUACAAUGGGGAGGACAAUGAGACGCGAUACCGCGAGGUGGAGCAAAUCUAUAAACCUUCUCUCAGUUCGGAUAGCACUCUGCAACUCGAGUGCUUGAAGCUGGAAUCGCUAGUAAUCGUAGAUCAGCAAUGCUACGGUGAAUACGUUCCCGGGUC
This 859-nucleotide ribosomal RNA is filed under the name uncultured bacterium. RNAcentral describes it as "bacterial SSU rRNA". It matches the Rfam family "Bacterial small subunit ribosomal RNA", at positions 524 to 1380 of the family's 1533-position model. The record is from RNAcentral.